Molecule: unclassified non-coding RNA, 342 nt
Filed under: soil metagenome
Description: partial contains 5.8S ribosomal RNA, internal transcribed spacer 2, and large subunit ribosomal RNA
Rfam family: 5.8S ribosomal RNA (bases 1-120)
Source: RNAcentral
GAUGAAGAACGCAGCGAAAUGCGAUAAGUAAUGUGAAUUGCAGAAUCCAGUGAAUCAUCGAAUCUUUGAACGCACAUUGCGCCCGCCAGCAUUCUGGCGGGCAUGCCUGUUCGAGCGUCAUUUCAACCCUCGACCUCCCUUUGGGGAAGUCGGCGUUGGGGACCGGCAGCACACCGCCGGCCCUGAAAUGGAGUGGCGGCCCGUCCGCGGCGACCUCUGCGUAGUAAACCAACUCGCACCGGAACCCCGACGUGGCCACGCCGUAAAACACCCAACUUCUGAACGUUGACCUCGAAUCAGGUAGGACUACCCGCUGAACUUAAGCAUAUCAAUAAGCGAGGA